RNAcentral lists this unclassified non-coding RNA (219 nucleotides) under Hevea brasiliensis (rubber tree). Lineage: Eukaryota; Viridiplantae; Streptophyta; Magnoliopsida; Malpighiales; Euphorbiaceae. The record is from RNAcentral.
GAAAAUUUUGCUGACCCAACUCACAAAUCCUCAAGAAAUUGUUAUGGAAGCUACAAUGAGCUAUUCCCAAAACAUAAUGGAUGAUGAGUAUGAGAAAUUUAUCAGAAGAAUGAAUCCACCAAGAGUGGUGAUUGACAAUGAUUCUUGCAAAAAUGCUACUGUAAUACAGGUGGAUAGUGCUAACAAACAUGGAAUACUUUUAGAGGUGGUACAAAUUUU